GGUCCUGUAGCGGAUGGUUCCGCGCCUGCAUCUAAUGGAUCCUCUUCGUACCCCGAAUUCUGCAGGAAAUUGCUCGUUCGAAUCGAGCCUGGGCCA
Non-coding RNA from Mycena latifolia, 96 nucleotides. The record is from the annotation of a GenBank genome assembly. NCBI's taxonomy places the organism in Eukaryota, Fungi, Basidiomycota, Agaricomycetes, Agaricales, Mycenaceae.